Molecule: long non-coding RNA, 903 nt
Organism: Fukomys damarensis (Damara mole-rat)
Lineage: Eukaryota; Metazoa; Chordata; Mammalia; Rodentia; Bathyergidae
Exons: 2
Source: RefSeq, a predicted model, not a curated record
CUCCGAUACCAAAAAAUUAAAAUAAAAAUAAGACAAUUGUAAUCAGAUACACUUUUAAAUAUAUUGUCCUACCUGAAUUACAAUGACUUUUUCUGUCUCAUUUUUCCUUUAAUAGACCAGUACUUAUUGUACUUAUUCGAUUAACCUAAGAGCAUGGCAUAUAUGUAUUGUCUACAAUCUAACUUAAAAUUAUGUAAGAAUUUUACCUAUGUAAUUUUUACAUCAUUCUUCAGGGUAGAUCUUGUCUGUGUAAGUCUUAAAAGCCACAUUUUCUAAGUGGUACAUACCAUUUCCAUGAAAAUGCCUCUUCUUAAAUUUCAACAUUAUGAAUAAAGUUUGAUUUAUUUCAGAUGCUGCAACAGUUGGAAAACAGUAUAGGUACAGAAGUAGGAGAAGCUACUGCUGAGCUUGAAAUGGGAAUCCUUAACAUACAAGAGCUGCUAAAGAAUCUAGCCAAGUUCUAAUUUCAGAAACAUCACAAGGCUGCCUGGAGAUUUUAAGGAAAUGACAUAAGACCUGAAAAGAUAAUUUUAAUUUUUGGACUUUUUAUAUAAACAUUUUAAUUAUUUCCCAUAACGUGUAUGAUGGGAAAACUUUGUUAAAAGAAAAAAAUGUAUCAUAGACACAUGAUGAAAAUUUCUUUACUGUUUUAAACUGAUUCUUGACAUUUGUAACUUUUUAAGUGAUGUUUAAAAGUAAAAACCAGUGUUAUGGAGUUUUAUGCACUCAAACUUCCCCAGUUUCAGAUGUUUUGUUUUGUUUCUCCGGUACCAGGCAUUGAACUCAGGACCUUACAAUUGCAAGGCAGGCAUGGUGCCACUGAAUCAAAUCCUUGACCCUGCGCCAGCUAUUUUAAACUCACGCAAACAUCCAAGUUGUCAUUAAUACUUUGUUGGAGUGAAA